RNAcentral lists this ribosomal RNA (492 nucleotides) under uncultured bacterium. RNAcentral's name for it is "partial 16S ribosomal RNA". It matches the Rfam family "Bacterial small subunit ribosomal RNA", at positions 29 to 507 of the family's 1533-position model. The record is from RNAcentral.
AGUGAACGCUGGCGAUAGGCCUAACACAUGCCAGUCGAACGGCAGCACAGUAAGAGCUUGCUCUUACGGGUGGCGAGUGGCGGGCGGGUGAGGAAUACAUCGGAAUCUACUUUUUCGUGGGGGAUAACGUAGGGAAACUUACGCUAAUAACGCAUACGACCUACGGGUGAAAGCAGGGGAUCUUCGGACCUUGCGCGAUUGAAUGAGCCGAUGUCGGAUUAGAUAGUUGGCGGGGUAAAGGCCCACCAAGGCGACGAUCCGUAGCUGGUCUGAGAGGAUGAUCAGCCACACUGUAACUGAGACACGUUCCAGACUCCUACGGGAGGCAGCAGUGGGGAAUAUUGGACAAUGGGCGCAAGCCUGAUCCAGCCAUACCGCGUGGGUGAAGAAGGCCUUCGGGUUGUAAAGCCCUUUUGUUGGGAAAGAAAAGCAGCAGGUUAAUACCCCGCUGUUCUGACGGUACCCAAAGAAUAAGCACCGGCUAACUUCGUG